Molecule: long non-coding RNA, 3163 nt
Filed under: Homo sapiens (human)
Lineage: Eukaryota; Metazoa; Chordata; Mammalia; Primates; Hominidae
Description: HSALNT0019213
Source: RNAcentral
CAUUGAUACUGAUUUGAUCUCACUUGGAUUCAUGUUUCAAUAUUUCAGUUUCUUUACAUGUAACAACAGUUCCAUGUUGAAAAAAUGAUUGUUGGGUUUUACAUGUUGAUGGCAAUCUUUCCAAAUGUUUUUUAUUCACUUUCUUGCUCUAGUAAAUUGCAUCCAAUAAAAAGAAUUUUGACACUUUUUAGUGGAUCAACAUUUAACAAUGAUUCAGUCUUCAUUUUUCCCACAAUUUUAUGUUUUUUACAGAUAGAUAACACAAUAAAAAAUAAUAAGACUGUAGACAAACUAUUUAAAAUUUAAUACUGUUGUUUUAGCAAAUGUCUGACGUUUAAAAUAGUUGCUUUGCUUAUUACUUCUAAAAGGUUCAUUUCUACUCUAUAAAAUUUAGUAGGUAAGAUUCCAGGUAAAUGUAUAUGUUUACUAUUAAAUAAUUAUGUCUAAAAACACAGCUGAAUCUGAUUUUUAAAAAAAUUUUCCAAAUGUAAUAUUUUACUACCUGUGCUGCUAAAUUUGUAUUGUUUCCCAAGUGAUUUAAUUUUGUAAAUGUUUCUUAAAACUUGUGUUUUUUCAUCUUCAAAGGACCCUUCUAUAAUUGGUUGAUUUAUAGAGCAAAACCAAUAAAAUGACCAAAAAAUUCAAACCCAUAAUAAAAUGUAUUUAUAUAUACAUAUACUUUCAGUUCCUCUUUUGUUUUAUAAAAGAUGCACAAAGAUAUGCAAGUUAGUGAAUCUUUUGUAUUGUCCUUAAAUAAAUGAGGAAAUUAGUUACUUAACUCCUAGCUUCAAAAGAUAAAUGGUAAUCUGCACGAUUGGUCGUAGAAGGAUUUGUUAUUUGGGAUACAUACGAAGAAAAGUUUAAAACAUGGCUUUCAGCUGCGUAUUGCAGAAUGCAAGCUUUAUCAGACAAUAUACUAUGAAGAGAGUUUUUCUUUCUCUCUCUUUCCCUGUCACUCCCACUGUUAAAUUCACUUUUGAAUGCUCAGAAGCUAGCAGUAGCAAUCAAAUGAAAGUGUUCAAUAAAUACUUGUUGAUUUAUUCAAGUUAUAGAACAUGAGUUUUGAUAAGUUGUACGAAUUUUUAUUUUUAUUGUUGAAAAGGCUUCAAAUGAUAUAGCUAAAUGAACGUGGUUACAUCUGUGUUGGUAAUUUUUUUCUUUUUUAGACAGAUGAUAAAGAGCCAGGAAAUUAAAUAUAAGACCAGCCAAUGUGGCACAAUGAAAAUAAAUUAGUCUUUUUAAAUUUAGUUAAUGCCAUAGCUAAGGCUUAGCAUCUGAUGAGGUGGGGCGGGGAGAGUAUACAUCUUCACCAUGCUUUGUCUUUUUUUUCCUCUUAAAGAAGAUCUGCACUGCACAUAACUAAAAAGUUAAGGGUUUUUUUUUAAAAGCUUUUUCUUUAGAAAAAUGCUUAUGCUUAAAAUGUUCCCAUAUUUUAAUUUAGCUAAAAUAUCAUUUUUUAUGAAGUGCAAAUUAUAAAAGUUUUGAUGAGAGCAAUAGUCAUCCCCAUACUUUAGUCAAGCAAAAUCUCAUUAUUCUCAAAGAUAUUUUUUGAUUUGUAACCAAGGCAUUAUUAGAAAAAUUUAUAUUAUAAUUAAAAUGUGGUACUUAAACACAGGGAAUACUUUCUAAAAUCCAUCCACACACUAAAGUCAGUUAACACUGUAGCUGGCACUUUGCAAAUAUUUACAAUUUAAUCACCAUAAGAACACUGUGAAAAUUUUAUUCCAAUAUUACAAAUAAAAAUUGAAGAUAAGAAUUUAGGUAGCUUUCUCAACAUAGUACACUUGGUAGCUAGUAGAGAUAGAAUUCAAAUAAAAAUGCACCACAUAUUAAAGACUUUACUCUUUGCUGAAAUACUACUCUGACUUCCUUUUGAUUUCACUUGACUUUGCAAUCACUUAUUGAACUUUUAUUAUGUACAUAACUUGAAGCCUAGGUAUUUACUAUUGCUUAUGGGCUUCAAAAAGUGCCCCAAAUUAUCUAAUUCAACCCAACUUUAUUUAUCAUCCAGUACUUUAAAGACAUUGUUAUCAUACAUUUGACUGGUCAAAAAAAAAAUCAAGCUCUAUUUCCUGUGACUUCUUUCCUUUCAUGUAUUUCUGGGUUUUCUAUAAUCUUGUGCCCUAUUCUUAGACAAAAAUCCCAUAUUAAUUUUUAAUCUUAAGUUUUCCUUCAUUAAUUAUACUUAUUUGCCUCUUUUCCUUACUUGGAUACAAGUCAAGGUUUGCUUCGGAGAAUAUCAAGUGAACAAAUUAGAAUUAAUGAGUGUGGAGACCAUAAAGAACACUAGAAAGUAGAAAUCCUGAGUCUUUAUCUUAAAACGAACGUGGAUGGAAGAGUCCUUAGAAGUUAUAUAAACUUUUGAGGAUCCCACAUCCAGUUAGGGGGCUCGCACACUGAGGCUUUCAAGUCUAGUUUCAAUUUGUGCGUUUUGCCAUCAUUCAGCCAACACUCAGUGCUUUCUGUGCAUCUGUGCUUGGCUGCUUUCAGUUGUCCAAUUAUUUAUCUUGUUUCUGUAUUUGUCCAUGUUGUCUCCUCCAGAGAGUGCAAACUUUUUGAAGUCAGUCAUUAAUUUUAUGAAGAAAUCCUGGUAUGUUUUUGAAGCAUCUCAUUGAAUAUUUCAUAAUUUAAUGAAGAGAUUGGAUGAUUUUGGACAGUAUUACAUACGGAAAAGCUACAUGAUACAUAUUUGUGGUACCAGAACAAUGCUAUUAAAAUCAGCCCAUGAUGUUUCUGAUGAGAUUGCAAAGUUUGUGUCGAGUCUUAAGUCUGUAUAUGAAACAAUUAAAUUCUAUGGAAAGAGACUGCCACAGAAAAAGAAAAUAGGAAUUAACUAAGGAAAACAUAAAAAUCACCUUUUUAGUUGAUUUUUGAAACCCAAGAUACUUUGUUUUUAUAUUCACAACAAUUUAAACAACUGAUAUAGCAUUAAGAUCAAUGAUACAAUAACUCAAUUAAUACUUUCUAUCCCAAUAUUACUCUAAAAGAAGAAAAUGUUUAUUCCUUAUUACAUAAUAGGAAGGAUAAUCAACAUUCAGUCAGAGCUUUUAUUGUCAGAUAAACUUAACUGUAUGAAUGAAGUUAAAAAUAUUUAUUACUACAAAUGAUCUAAAGUUUUCACAUUUUACAUUUCAACUAACAUUAAAAAUUAAAUAUCUCUUUA